AACGAACGCCGGCGGCAUGCCUAACACAUGCAAGUCGAACGAGACCUUCGGGUCUAGUGGCGCACGGGUGCGUAACGCGUGGGAACCUGCCCUUAGGUUCGGAAUAACUCCCCGAAAGGGGUGCUAAUACCGGAUAAUGUCUUCGGACCAAAGAUUUAUCGCCUUUGGAUGGGCCCGCGUUGGAUUAGCUAGUUGGUAGGGUAAAAGCCUACCAAGGCGACGAUCCAUAGCUGGUCUGAGAGGAUGAUCAGCCACACUGGGACUGAGACACGGCCCAGACUCCUACGGGAGGCAGCAGUGGGGAAUAUUGGACAAUGGGCGAAAGCCUGAUCCAGCAAUGCCGCGUGAAUGAUGAAGGCCUUAGGGUUGUAAAGCUCUUUUACCCGGGAUGAUAAUGACAGUACCGGGAGAAUAAGCGCCGGCUAACUCCGUG
Molecule: ribosomal RNA, 433 nt
Filed under: uncultured bacterium
Lineage: Bacteria
Description: partial 16S ribosomal RNA
Rfam family: Bacterial small subunit ribosomal RNA
Source: RNAcentral